CAUCGUGUUCCCUAACUUGAGGAGUGUUCAAUCUGCCACGUCAAUUAAUGAGGCAUGAUCCAACGCUCCUUGUUUUUUCUGAUUUUAAUUCUUUUUCUUUUAUUAUUUUUAAUUUAUUUUCUUUUAAAGUUCAUAGUAAUUUUCAUCCAAAAAUCCCAAAAUAAUUUCUAAAAUUCUCUUUUAUUUUUCUUCAUCUGAUU
RNAcentral lists this long non-coding RNA (200 nucleotides) under Lathyrus oleraceus (garden pea). RNAcentral's name for it is "Pisum sativum (pea) long non-coding RNA (PSAT_LNC031536)". Lineage: Eukaryota; Viridiplantae; Streptophyta; Magnoliopsida; Fabales; Fabaceae. The record is from RNAcentral.